AGUGAACGCUGGCGGUAGGCCUAACACAUGCAAGUCGAACGGCAGCACAGUAAGAGCUUGCUCUUACGGGUGGCGAGUGGCGGACGGGUGAGGAAUACAUCGGAAUCUACUUUUUCGUGGGGGAUAAUGUAGGGAAACUUACGCUAAUACCGCAUACGACCUACGGGUGAAAGCAGGGGAUCUUCGGACCUUGCGCGAUUGAAUGAGCCGAUGUCGGAUUAGCUAGUUGGCGGGGUAAAGGCCCACCAAGGCGACGAUCCGUAGCUGGUCUGAGAGGAUGAUCAGCCACACUGGAACUGAGACACGGUCCAGACUCCUACGGGAGGCGGCAGUGGGGAAUAUUGGACAAUGGGCGCAAGCCUGAUCCAGCCAUACCGGGUGGGUGAAGAAGGCCUUCGGGUUGUAAAGCCCUUUUGUUGGGAAAGAAAAGCAGCAGGUUAAUACCCCGCUGUUCUGACGGUACCCAAAGAAUAAGCACCGGCUAACUUCGUG
Molecule: ribosomal RNA, 492 nt
Filed under: uncultured bacterium
Lineage: Bacteria
Description: partial 16S ribosomal RNA
Rfam family: Bacterial small subunit ribosomal RNA
Source: RNAcentral